UGGGUAAAGUCGUAACAAGGUUUCCGUAGGUGAACCUGCGGAAGGAUCAUUACAAAUCCCUAAUUAUUAAAUGACAGGUCUGUGAUUAAUUGAAUGUCUUGUUGAUCGGGUGGCUACUCCUGGUCUUCAGAUAUUCAUAUAUAUAUAUAUAUAACGCUGGUCACAAAAGGCCUUGUGAACCAGUGAAUGAAAUAUAUAGAAACCGCGAAUCAAAAUGGAAAGGCUGAGGACGAUGAUCAUUUACUGGUCAUCGUGGUCAUUAUAUAAUAAAUGGAAUUGAGGGAGGGACCUUCUGGGUCCGCGGCUAAGGGCCAUGCCUGGGGCUUAUACCGUGUGUGGAUUUAUUCCAUAUACGUCUACAUG
RNAcentral lists this ribosomal RNA (363 nucleotides) under Leucochloridiomorpha constantiae. RNAcentral's name for it is "partial 18S ribosomal RNA". The stretch from base 1 to 52 matches the Rfam family "Eukaryotic small subunit ribosomal RNA", at positions 1780 to 1831 of the family's 1831-position model. Lineage: Eukaryota; Metazoa; Platyhelminthes; Trematoda; Strigeidida; Leucochloridiomorphidae. The record is from RNAcentral.